Long non-coding RNA from Lates calcarifer (barramundi perch), 261 nucleotides. RefSeq lists it as uncharacterized. NCBI's taxonomy places the organism in Eukaryota, Metazoa, Chordata, Actinopteri, Centropomidae. The transcript has 3 exons. The record is from RefSeq and is a predicted model, not a curated record.
GUUACCUGUCUCUCAGGUGAGUUACCUGUCUCUCAGGUGUGUGAGUUACCUGUCUCUCAGGUGAGUUACCUGUCUCUCAGGUGUGUGAGUUACCUGUCUCUCAGGUGUGUGAGUUACCUGUCUCUCAGGUGUGUGUGUUACCUGUCUCUCAGGUGUGUGUGUUACCUGUCUCUCAGGCGUGUGUGUUACCUGUCUCUCAGGCGUGUGUGUUACCUGUCUCUCAGGUGUGUGAGUUACCUGUCUCUCAGGUGAGUUACCUGU